GUGGGGAGUAUUGGACAAUGGGGGCAACCCUGAUCCAGCAAUGCCGCGUGGGUGAUGAAGGCCUUCGGGUUGUAAAGCCCUUUCGGCGGGGACGAUGAUGACGGUACCCGCAGAAGAAGCCCCGGCUAACUUCGUGCCAGCAGCCGCGGUAAUACGAAGGGGGCUAGCGUUGUUCGGAAUGACUGGGCGUAAAGGGCGCGUAGGCGGCGAUUUUAGUCAGGCGUGAAAGCCCUGGGCUCAACCUAGGAACUGCGUUUGAUACUGGAUCGCUUGAGUGUGGGAGAGGAUGGUGGAAUUCCCAGUGUAGAGGUGAAAUUCGUAGAUAUUGGGAAGAACACCGGUGGCGAAGGCGGCCAUCUGGACCACUACUGACGCUGAGGCGCGAAAGCGUGGGGAGCAAACAGGAUUAGAUACCCGUGUAGUCC
This 425-nucleotide ribosomal RNA is filed under the name uncultured bacterium. Its description in RNAcentral is "bacterial SSU rRNA". It matches the Rfam family "Bacterial small subunit ribosomal RNA", at positions 354 to 796 of the family's 1533-position model. The record is from RNAcentral.